This 385-nucleotide ribosomal RNA is filed under the name Leptolyngbya sp. PGC08. RNAcentral's name for it is "bacterial SSU rRNA". It matches the Rfam family "Bacterial small subunit ribosomal RNA", at positions 391 to 787 of the family's 1533-position model. The record is from RNAcentral. Lineage: Bacteria; Bacillati; Cyanobacteriota; Cyanophyceae; Leptolyngbyales; Leptolyngbyaceae.
CCAUGAGCAAGAUGUGCCAGGAUGGCCUUCUGGGCCGUAAACACACUAUUUCUCAGGGAAGAAGCUCUGACGGUACCUGAGGAAUCAGCCUCGGCUAACUCCGUGCCAGCAGCCGCGGUAAUACGGAGGAGGCAAGCGUUAUCCGGAAUUAUUGGGCGUAAAGCGUCCGCAGGUGGCUCAUCAAGUCUGCUGUCAAAGCCCGAAGCUCAACUUCGGAGAGGCAGUGGAAACUGGAGAGCUAGAGAACGGUAGGGGUAGAGGGAAUUCCCAGUGUAGCGGUGAAAUGCGUAGAGAUUGGGAAGAACACCGGUGGCGAAAGCGCUCUACUGGGCCGUAUCUGACACUCAGGGACGAAAGCUAGGGUAGCGAAUGGGAUUAGAUACCC